RNAcentral lists this ribosomal RNA (501 nucleotides) under Nymphon micronesicum. RNAcentral's name for it is "SSU rRNA". It matches the Rfam family "Eukaryotic small subunit ribosomal RNA", at positions 583 to 1076 of the family's 1831-position model. The record is from RNAcentral. Lineage: Eukaryota; Metazoa; Arthropoda; Pycnogonida; Pantopoda; Nymphonidae.
UUCCAGCUCCAAUAGCGUAUAUUAAAGUUGUUGCGGUUAAAAAGCUCGUAGUUGGAUUUCUGUUCCAGACUGGCGGUCCACCGAACGGUGGCGACUGUCAGGCCUGAACAUCCGGUCGGUUCUCGACAGAUUUUCCCGCGGUGCUCUUCGUUGAGUGUCGCGGGAGGCCGACAAGUUUACUUUGAAAAAAUUAGAGUGCUCAAAGCAGGCGCUUCGGCCUGAAUAAUGGUGCAUGGAAUGAUGGAAUAGGACCUCGGUUCUAUUUUGUUGGUUUUCGCAACUCGAGGUAAUGAUUAAGAGGGACAGACGGGGGCAUUCGUAUUGCGACGCUAGAGGUGGAAUUCUUGGACCGUCGCAAGACGAACUACUGCGAAAGCAUUUGCCAAGAAUGUUUUCAUUAAUCAAGAACGAAAGUUAGAGGUUCGAAGGCGAUCAGAUACCGCCCUAGUUCUAACCAUAAACGAUGCCAACCAGCGAUCCGCCGGAGUUCCUUCUAUGACU